This 69-nucleotide transfer RNA is filed under the name Eopsetta jordani (Petrale sole). Its description in RNAcentral is "tRNA-Arg". It matches the Rfam family "tRNA". From Rfam's summary of the family: Transfer RNA (tRNA) molecules are approximately 80 nucleotides in length. Their secondary structure includes four short double-helical elements and three loops (D, anti-codon, and T loops). Further hydrogen bonds mediate the characteristic L-shaped molecular structure. tRNAs have two regions of fundamental functional importance: the anti-codon, which is responsible for specific mRNA codon recognition, and the 3' end, to which the tRNAs corresponding amino acid is attached (by aminoacyl-tRNA synthetases). tRNAs cope with the degeneracy of the genetic code in two manners: having more than one tRNA (with a specific anti-codon) for a particular amino acid; and 'wobble' base-pairing, i.e. permitting non-standard base-pairing at the 3rd anti-codon position. Lineage: Eukaryota; Metazoa; Chordata; Actinopteri; Pleuronectiformes; Pleuronectidae. The record is from RNAcentral.
AAGCAGUUAGUUUAAAAAAAACAAUUGAUUUCGACUCAAUAACUUGUGGUUAAACCCCGCAACCGCUUA